AUUGGACGAUUAAUCGGUAUCGGCUUUUUUUGUUCUCCAAUAAUCGGUAUCGGUAUAUAAAAAUCAUAAUCGGUCGACCUCUAGUAUGGACAGAUUGAAUUGACGCUUAAUCAUUUUAGUCUCAGAGAGAGAGGAUUCUUGUAAUAGUUUGAAAUUGUAAAGUGAAGUCACCAAGAGAAAGAGAAAAGAGGUUUAAAAGGUGAUGUUGUUACACAAGUAAAUUAGUAGUGCUUGAAAUUGUAUAUGCCUUUCCACAUACCUUUAAACAUAAUAAUUAAUGGCUAGGGUCCUUUUUGUUUGUUUUUGCUGUUCUCCAAAUAGUACUUUUGAGUUUUUGAAAGCUAGUCUAAGACAUGGUAGAUAUGUUCUAUGUGUGCUAUUCCUAUGCUUCCAUUCAUAAGUUUUGUAUACAAGCGUCAAAUAACUGAACAUACAAUAUUCUUGGUUGUGGAAAAUAUAUUUCACUGUGGUUUAGAUGGUACAAUGAUGCUCUACACAAUUACUCCUUGUUUUGUCAUAAAAACUGAAAAUGGCAGAGCGAUUUCUGCAUAUUGCACCUUUAAUACAUUGUGUGGCAAUGCAGUAAAUGAGCUCCAGCGUCAACGUCCAACUUCCCCCCCAGACAAUUUGAGAAAUCUAACUGAAACAAUAUUCUUGUUUUGACAACUGCAAACGCACGCUGAUCCAGAAAAACUACUUUAAACUGCAUGUACCGUAGAGAUGCAGCCACGGUACAGAAAACAUUUUCUAAGUAGGUCUGUCCCUUUCCUUUUUUCCUUGCCAGUGGACAUCUUGCUCAACUGUCGUACUAGGCAUUUACGGCAUAACGUUGACUUUCUCUGCCAGUGGCAUAACGUUAACGUUGACUUUCUUCUCAGCAGUGCACUACCUGCAUACUGAAAAGGUUUUCGGGGUGAGCGAGUCCCAAUAUCAUGGCCAUUCAUCCAACCUACAAAAAAUAAGGAAGUGUUGUACUUACCAAAUUAAGGCCCAAUGUACUACAGCUUUUUGUGCUGUACUUUUUCUGUUGCUUUGCAACACCAGCCCACGUGACUUAUUACGGUGACUGUACACUAGCAGUAAAUUGCUGCGCCCAUAUUGUGACUGGCUUGUAGGCGUGUUAUGUACCCAUUAUGAAAUGGGUACAUAGUUAAACAGUAAUUAUCCUCUAAAACGCUCUGGGGACAAACAAACUUUACUGACCUGUUUCCAAUUGUCCACAUGGCUGGGAGAACCUGUUCAAGUUUUCUGUCCUCAAAUAAAGAGCUAUGAAACCUGUCUGCAGAUGAAGAGGUCCCAAUGAAGAGCAGUGGUUCACCUGGUCCUGGGGACUCAAAGGGGUGCACAUUUUUGUUUUUGCCUUAGCACUGCACAGCUGAUACAAAUGGUCAACUCAUCAUCAAGCUUUAAGUGAUGCUUUGUAACUGGAGAUUCCUUCAAAACGAUUUCCUACAGUUAACGUGUAGGGCACUGCAAGGAUGGGUGACCAGGGCCAUCUAGGACUGCCUGCUGGAGGAAUUCAGUUGGGUGAAGGCUACCUGCGUCCUGCAUAACUUUGGGGUGGCAGGUAGCCUAGUGGUUAGAGCAUUGGGCCAGUAACCAAAAGGUUGCUAGAUCAAAUCCCUCGUGCUGCCCCUGAACAAGGCAGUUACCCACUGUUCCUAGGCCAUCAUUAUAAAUAAUAAUUUGUUCUUAACUGGCUUGCCUAGUUAAAUAAAGGUUCAAUAACAAAAUAACUUAAUGAGGAUGGACACGAGGCUCUGCAGGAUGUUUCAAGGAUGGGGUCCAGCAACGCAGCAAGACUGAGACGGAGAGACGGAGAUCAACCUCCUACUUCUUCGAAGAGGGUGUUGUUCCCUGGCAACUCCAUAGACUAUGCACAACCAAAUGCUCUUUUAAGAGUCAUUCACAUUGCAAUAACAGUGUUCUUCCAUUUACUUACUGCAGUUAUUCAAUUCCCAGUUUCUCUCCCUUUGAUUUCUACUUCUCGGGUGAGGGUGCUGAUGUCUGUACAAAAAUAAAGCAGCCAUUUCAAAUCACUCAUAUUGAAAAUAUGUAGAACAAUUAGACACCCUAUAACCCACACCUACACACAUGUAUCAAUCUGAUUGAUUGAUUGUGUUGCUCAGGUGUAUAACUGGCUCCUUUCACCUUGAAAUAAUAGGCAAGAUGGCCAACCAUGGAGAAUAGCAAGACACUUCAUUAUUUCUAUAACUACACUAUAUUGUUUGUCCUCGUGUGUCCGUUCAUGUUUUUCAGCAUAAAGUACUCUGCAGCCGCUUAGUGUGGUGUGGACACCAGGUGAGGCCACACACACAGAUUACUGUUCAACUACCUUAUUUUCACAAUCAGUCUCUCUUCACUUCAUCCCUUUCUCCUCUUCUCCAUAAAUCCUCUAGGUUAUAUCAGCUGUGUCAGUGAACCCCUCCUGCAUCUGAACUGGCUACAUAGAAUUGUAAUUAGUGUUUAAUGUUUUACGGACUCCUGAGAGAACCAGCAAACCAGGCUGUAGUCUUGUGAAACAGUGGAUGUAAAGAAUCUAGCUAGCUUAAGCAUUUACUGCUAAUUUUAAUGUAUAAUUUUGGAAGCUUGCCUUGCUGAUAUUUGCCAUGCAAUGCAGCUGGAGUAACGUAGCUAACUAUUUUCUUGCUUAUUGUGUAGUGGAGGAUAAAAAAUACCUGUAUGCCUGUGGAUGUAUAGCUAGCUAUGUAGCUGAUCUGUGGAGGGAACCUUAAAUAUUAGGCCAGAACCUAGCUAUCAUAGCCGGUUGUAUCGACUUAAAACAUGAAUGGCAUUAAUAAAGUCUUUGGAUAGAGUAUAAAAUAACUUUAUUGUGCCAAGGAUGCAAGUUGUAAAUACAUGUAGUUAUUACCAAGCAUUAGAUCCCCACAUUGUAGCCUGUAAUUUGAAUAUAUUCACUGAUCAUGUACUCUACCUUGGCAAAUAAAGAGCGGGAUCGCAUUAUUAA
Oncorhynchus mykiss (rainbow trout) is the source of this 2968-nucleotide non-coding RNA. The record is from RefSeq and is a predicted model, not a curated record. NCBI's taxonomy places the organism in Eukaryota, Metazoa, Chordata, Actinopteri, Salmoniformes, Salmonidae.